RNAcentral lists this ribosomal RNA (443 nucleotides) under uncultured bacterium. RNAcentral describes it as "partial 16S ribosomal RNA". It matches the Rfam family "Bacterial small subunit ribosomal RNA", at positions 338 to 795 of the family's 1533-position model. The record is from RNAcentral.
CCUACGGGUGGCUGCAGUGAGGAAUAUUGGGCAAUGGGCGCAAGCCUGACCCAGCAACGCCGCGUGAAGGAAGAAGGCUCUCGGGUUGUAAACUUCUUUUAUCAAGGACGUAACAAAUGACGGUACUUGAUGAAUAAGCCACGGCUAACUACGUGCCAGCAGCCGCGGUAAUACGUAGGCGGCAAGCGUUAUCCGGAUUUACUGGGUGUAAAGGGCGUGUAGGCGGGACUGCAAGGCAGGUGUGAAAACCAUGGGCUCAACCCAUGGCGUGCAUUUGAAACUGUAGUUCUUGAGUGUUGGAGAGGCAGGCGGAAUGCGGGGUGUAGCGGUGAAAUGCGUAGAUAUACGGAGGAACACCAGUGGCGAAGGCGGCCUGCUGGACAAUAACUGACGCUGAGGCGCGAAAGCGUGGGGAGCAAACAGGAUUAGAUACCCUGGUAGUC